CGGGUGGAAGGCGCGGCCUGAUUGGCCGACCGGUCCGCGACUCGUCUCUCUGAUUGGCCCGCGGGACCGCACCCAUCCUGCAAUGGCCGCUUUGUCGUUUCACGGCGCCGUUACUCUCUUCCUCUCUCUCUCUCUCUCUCUCUCUCUCUCUCUCCCUUCCCCCCCUCUUUCUCCUCUCUUUCUGUAUACGCGCCUGUACGCUUCAGCCACGAAGCUUCAACAACCCCGUGAAUCGCGACUCGACUGUACCUACCUAUCUACCCCUUUCCCUUGCAUCUCUUUUUAUUCUCCUUUUCCUCUUUCUCGCGAUCUUUCUCCUCAUUUUACCUAACCGCCGCGUCUUCGUCGCACGUAUCCUCGACGUUUCUUUUCUACCUUUGGUGUUGUCUCUUCUAGAGAUUCCUUUGCCACCCUUGUUACAUGGACCACUGUUAUCCCUCUAACCUUCGUCACCCUGGUUUCUCCAGUUACAUACCUACCUAUACAAAAAUAUAUUUAGUAGCGUGUAUGUACCUACGUGCAGCGGACAUUUAUGCACAGACACUCAUGGACGUUAUCGUACGUGCACACCCACGUGUCAGGCAUGGUUCGCACGUAUGUUGUUCGUGAAAGGAUACAGUGACGCGAAGGAUUAAGGAGAACGAGGCAGAGAAGAAGCAAGGACGGAGGGGUAAAUCACGAUGCGAGGAUGAGGGACGAGGAACAGGGAGAGAAAGGGAAGUUUGUCCCGGGUCCGCCAUGCGGAAACCUAUCUCAGCCUGGUACUCCACGAGUCCGCGUUACUUAACGAAAACUAUCGCCAAUGUUACUCUCAUCUCGGCACGGUCGAUAAGAAGGAAAGUAUUCCUGCUGUGUCGUCACGAAGACGAAGAACUUAAUGAGGAAGCGUCGGGCGCAUUCAGUGGAUUCAAGCAAAUUUCUUGCAUGCCGGCUUAAUUUUAUCCAACAUUUCUUCCUUGCCCAUACACGCGCCUCUCUAUACCAUCCAGCAGCGUCUUUUCUGAGCCGAGCGUCAAAUAAAUUUUGCUCUAUUUAUUCUAUCAAUCUUGUAAAAAGACUUGGACUCGUAGCAUAACUACCAGCUUCGGGCAGAAUCACUUUCAUUAAAGCGAAAGGAUAAUUAAAAUAACAUGACCACUGAUUGCAAUAUUUUCCACGAACAACGCCAAUGAGUUUGCAUGCACGCAUAUGCAAAAAAUGAAGGAGUCGAAUGGAAAAUAAAUAUUUGAGGCUCGACUGUGCACAGCUUAAGACACCGAGCAUGGAGCUCGCGCGAUGCAUUGUUUCACAAGAUUGUAGAGAGGCCUCUUUACGCCACCCCGGCACCGCGUUGCUUCCUGCUGCCGGCUUUUAAAGUAUGCUUAUUUACCGCAAGCCGUCGAAUCAAUCGCUUUGCACGUCGGAGAACGUAGACGCAAGUGGAUGCUAAUAACCUGAAGAAAAUGGUGUUGCUAUAUGUAUUGCAUCGCAACUAAUGGAAAAUAUCAUAGGUACGAAUUGCCGUGUAUCUUUUCAUAUUAUUCUUACGAUAAAUUGCAAUUAUUAUUUUGUACGGACUAGUUGACGCUAAUAACAUCGCAUCGAGGGUUUGAAGUU
Molecule: long non-coding RNA, 1596 nt
Organism: Bombus impatiens (common eastern bumble bee)
Lineage: Eukaryota; Metazoa; Arthropoda; Insecta; Hymenoptera; Apidae
Exons: 4
Source: RefSeq, a predicted model, not a curated record